RNAcentral lists this transfer RNA (75 nucleotides) under Myxococcales bacterium. Its description in RNAcentral is "tRNA-Val". It matches the Rfam family "tRNA". From Rfam's summary of the family: Transfer RNA (tRNA) molecules are approximately 80 nucleotides in length. RNAcentral also lists the same sequence under 3 other names. The record is from RNAcentral. Lineage: Bacteria; Pseudomonadati; Myxococcota; Myxococcia; Myxococcales.
GGGCGAUUAACUCAGGGGUAGAGUGCCUUCUUCACACGGAGGAAGCCGCUGGUUCAAAUCCAGCAUCGCCCACCA